This 512-nucleotide ribosomal RNA is filed under the name uncultured bacterium. RNAcentral's name for it is "bacterial SSU rRNA". It matches the Rfam family "Bacterial small subunit ribosomal RNA", at positions 997 to 1509 of the family's 1533-position model. The record is from RNAcentral.
ACUCACGAAAGUGAGCUUCCGCAAGGACACUCGUAGAGGUGCUGCAUGGCUGUCGUCAGCUCGUGUCGUGAGAUGUUGGGUUAAGUCCCGCAACGAGCGCAACCCUUGUUUGCUGUUGCCAUCAGGUUAUGCUGGGCACUCUGCAAAGACUGCCGGUGAUAAACCGGAGGAAGGUGGGGAUGACGUCAAGUCAGCAUGGCCUUUAUGUCUGGGGCCACACACGUGCUACAAUGGCCGACACAAACCGUCGCGAUACCGUAAGGUGGAGCUAAUCGGAGAAAGUCGGUCUCAGUUCGGAUCGUAGGCUGCAACUCGCCUGCGUGAAGUUGGAAUCGCUAGUAAUCGCGGAUCAGCACGCCGCGGUGAAUACGUUCCCGGGCCUUGUACACACCGCCCGUCACAUCACGAAAGCCGGUUGUACUAGAAGUCGCCAUACCAACCCGCAAGGGAGGGAGGCGCCUAAGGUAUGGUCGGUGAUUGGGGUGAAGUCGUAACAAGGUAGGCGUAGUGCU